Molecule: long non-coding RNA, 828 nt
Organism: Odontomachus brunneus
Lineage: Eukaryota; Metazoa; Arthropoda; Insecta; Hymenoptera; Formicidae
Exons: 3
Source: RefSeq, a predicted model, not a curated record
GUGGUGGUGGUGGUGGUGCUCUAGAUGGUGCGACGGGUGGGACGACUGAGAGACCUGUUGCUGUUGCUGCUCCUCCUUUAUGUCGCCACCCUCGUAGCGGGGUGAGCCCUCUUCGAGGUAGCUACUGUUUUGGGAUAAACAGCAUGGUAGCCCAGCUGAUGAAGAGUGUAGGUGGCGCUGGGAUCCUCGACAUGGUCAGCGGCGACGGCGGCAACCGCAAUAGCAACUGCUCCAGCACCGGUCGACUCUACUAUGGCGCCAUUUUCCAUUUCCGGCUGUCCCGCCUUCAGCACGCCCACACUCUCCUUCCCGACCUCUUCACUCGCCACGUACGCCAGUUGCCGUUGUUGCUGCUGUUGCUGCUGCUGCUCCUGCCGCUGGUCGACUUCAUGCUCGAUGACGUCUUCGCUCUUUAUCGGCACUGCGGCCACCGUCAUUGCCGUCGUCGCCUCCCCCUCUUCUUGCUUGAUGACCGCCUCUCUGGCAGUCUGCGACGUCGGCUCUGCGGUCCCCUCGACAUAGUCGAGCAACGCUGCAAAAAGAUUGACGUGCUCAAUGACAGAAUGUCGACAGAAUAGUUGCGGAAUUUCAAAUCUAUUUUAGGAUCGGAGGACCCCCGCAUUGAGCAAAUAAGCAGCCACCAAAAGUUCGCAAACGACUACGGGGACAUCGUCACACAGCAUCACCGAUAUUAACGGCCUCUUUGUAAUUCGACUAACUGCCAAAAACGGAUCGACAUUUUGUGGCGGUAUCGCACCCGUUUUUCUACAGAAAAACGAAUUCACCCGUGCAACAAUGUCGAGAGGUGCCAAGAUCGAUCAAAAUUCG